RNAcentral lists this transfer RNA (77 nucleotides) under Sulfurovum zhangzhouensis. Its description in RNAcentral is "tRNA-Gly". It matches the Rfam family "tRNA". Rfam says of the family: Transfer RNA (tRNA) molecules are approximately 80 nucleotides in length. Their secondary structure includes four short double-helical elements and three loops (D, anti-codon, and T loops). Lineage: Bacteria; Pseudomonadati; Campylobacterota; Epsilonproteobacteria; Campylobacterales; Sulfurovaceae. The record is from RNAcentral.
GCGGGAAUAGCUCAGUUGGCUAGAGCGUCUGCCUUCCAAGCUGAGGGUCGCGGGUUCGAGUCCCGUUUCCCGCUCCA